UCAGAAAUUGAGCUUGGUGACGGGCUUCUAGACAUCAGAUCAACUGCAGUGCCUGAGUGCUCUAAAGAAGGCAGGAUUUGAGGUUUGCUGUUGCGGAUAUCUCAUUGAAUUGUGUUUGUUGAAGAAAAGAUGAUUUCUGAGCUGGUUAAAACUUUGCCAAAUACAUCGAAGCAUUAAACAGGAGGCAUUCUAUGUUGGUUUUGCUUGUACUUAGCUUCAAAUGCCAUGUAUAGCUGUAGAUGAAGUAUUCCAAUCCUCUGCAUCAUUUUAGUAGAGUAUCACACUAUCACUGUAAACAAAACUGAUUCUUGUUUUACAUUUAUUGCCAUUUUACAAUUACAGUGUAAAUUCUAAUCAAUUAGUACUAUGUAUGAUAAUCUUAUCGAUCUUAGACACAUGAGGCUUGUUAGUAAUGUUAAACUCCAUUGAUUCACUUAAUGUAUGUUCAAUAACAUAAGACAACUCUUGUUCAGAAAGAGGGACAAUUAUUAGUUGACAUAAAAAAGAGUUUUUUAUAGGUUGAUGUGUAUUUUGCAAUACGAACUAUUACUUUUCUGAUUGUGCUAUCAUAUUCUUCUCCUAGAAAUUGAAUAAACAAUUGAAGCAGGAACUUGUGACUCUCCCCUUCGAUGAAAGUACAUAUGCUAUCCCCUUUCCCUUCCGAAAAAUAAAGCUCUGGCAAAAUUUAGCAUAAUAUAGUUUAGCAUAAUACUUUUCAUUUCAGUACUUGCUUUUUUAUUUAUGUAGAAACUUGGCAUAGUUUAGCAUUCUUUUCCUUAUCAUUUGUUAUUAGGGUUGCUGCUGUGGUAAUUAACAAGAUUAAUUUGUUAAUGUGCCAUGUGUUUAGAGUUGGGAUUGAUUUGUCUGGGCGUUUGUUUAGGCCGGGUCUUUAAUUAGCUAUUUGCUAUUGAUUAGUUAGUCCUUGAUGCAUGUGGGUUGCUUUAUUAAUUAUGCUUGCCCAUGUUAGCCGUUAAUUUGUCUCUUAGAAUUAUAGAUAUUGUUGCAACAGGCAUGAGGUUUCUUUAAUUUUCUCCCUCUAAAUCGUAAGAUUUCUGGGAUGUUUUUACCAUGAAUUCUGGUUGUUUUGGUGGUUUUUGAAAAUAUUGAGGCUUGCCGAUUGGAUCUCAGGGAUCAUUUUAUGGGGAGAGAUAGAUAACAUAUUACCAAGUAUGAGAGGGAAGUUAUUAUUAUGAAACCUCCAAAUUAGGGGAAUGUAGGCAAUUCAUAUCGAAUGGACGAAGUAUUAAAUUUAUACACCAUGCAUGAUAAUGUUGCCAGCUUUACAAUUUGAAAUUUCCUUUAUAGAAAGAAGUUAUUCAUCUAUGUUUUCUGAGGUAAUGAAUCGGACAGCAUUAGAGAUUACUCUGAACUCCAAAAUAUAUUGAUGUCAUUUCAGUUUGAUAUUUGGUUGUUCGGGUUGCUUGUUGAAAUUCAAUUGUAUGGGGUAGAGUUGUGAAUUAUUCAAACAUUUGAGACAUCUUGCAAAGUUGCAGUAGGAUUCAUGUUGGGUUGUUGUGAUUUUUGUUGUUGCAAAGUUGCAGUAGGACUAUGUCACGUAUCAAUGCAUUAUUCAAGUGAUUGGGAGCUGGGUUGUGGACAUACUAAAAUCUUGAUACCUUGCUUGCAAUGGGAUUCAUGUUAUAUUGUUGUGAUUUCUGUUGCUUAACUUGUCUAUAUUAGGUUUUUUUUUUUUUUUUUUUUUUUGAAAAUAUUCAAGUUAUCACAAGCCAGAUUUCAGAAAUCUUGUGAUUCAGGCUUUGAGGCAAUUAAUGUGCCUGCGAAUAGGCUUGACAAUUAAGUUGUCAGCUUCCCUUUUAAUCGUCUUAGUACAAUCAGUUCAUGUACUAUCUGCUCAUUUUGUGGAAAUUUUUUCUGUCAAAUAUCUCUUUUGUUACCGUGAUUGGAUCAAGUGAAUGACUAAUUAGAUUAGCUCAAACUGUGGUAUUAUUUUAUGUUCAUUUAUGACCUUACUGUUUUUUUUUUCCCUUUACUAAUGACCGUUAUGUCCGCCGAUCCAUCUCAAAACUUUGGAGUAAGAAAUAAAAAAUCUAUGUGAUUUUAUGUAUAGGUAAAAUUUACAUUAAUGGUUCUAAUUUUUUAUUGAGACUUAUUCCUUAUGUUGUGCAUCAAGUAAAUUAUAGUAAUGCUUGCAAAAUGGGGAAGAAAGGAAGCUGAUUUUCAGCAAUUAAGAGGGUCUUUGGCCUCUUUGCACAUAGCUCUAAGGAGAAAGUAACUGAUAAAUCUUCUAUGAUAAUGAAGAGUUUGUCUGAUGUGGACGAUGAACUUUUGAAGCUACAACCUCAAUUUGACAAUGCAGACUUGCCCCCUGGUGUUGAGGCGACAUCAGUUCCCUGGUCGCAGGUUCCAACACCAAGUGAGAAGCCUCCUACUGCUGGAACAUCGAUUUUUCCAGUCCAGGAAGAGAAAGUCUCUGCACCUAGCUGCUCUAAAGCCGAGUCAAGUUCAAUAGUUAUGGACCAGUAGUUGGUUAAGCAUUUUCAACAGGAAGUUUCUAGAUUGGAAGCUGAGAUCAAAAGUCCUAAACCUUCAUCUUCAUCAACUUUAAAGGCACUUCUGAUUGAGAAAAACGUAAAAAUCCAAGAGAAUUAAGAGUUUGAAACACAAACCCUACCUUAUUUGAUCCUCACAAAGACAUUGUCGAUACAAGCUCACCCAUGCAAGGAGUUGGCAAAGAAAUUGUAAAUUAAGAACCCACUUAUUUACAAGGAUGGCAAUCAUAAGCCAAAAAUGGCUCUUGCAGUAACAAAGUUUGAUAUCCUUUGCGAUUUUGUCAGUAUCGAGGAGGAAGUAUUAUACAAAGUUGAGGCAAAUUCGGAGAACUGGAUGAUUGUUGGCAGAAAGCGUGGGCAUAUCUCUCUCCCCACUAAGCAAGCUAAUAGCAGUCAAUCAAAGUUCAUACUCUAUGAUUAAGUGAACUCGAUAUAAUUUAUAUUUGAUAUUUUGUUUAGGAACUAAUAUGCUUGUAAUAUAUUCAGGAUCAAGAUUUAUAAUCUCAAUUUCGUGUAUACCCUUAGUGGCUGGGUAUGUACGCCCCCUCAUCUUCGGUUGCCAGAUAUCGACGACGCAAAUAUUAGUAAUCUGCCUGCACCGCCUUUGGUCUGUGUCUUACCUCCUGCUAGAUCUUAGUACUAUUGAUUGAUUUUUGUAGUUUAAGUCAGUAGAAUGUAGUAGAUUAUAAUUCUUCCACGGAAUUAUUGAUACCUAGGCACUAGAAAAUUUUCAGCAUUGUGAGUACCCUAUGUAUAAUCUGCAAUUACCACAACAUAAUAGGAUGAGGAAUAUUUUUGUGACUUGCAUUGUAAUCUCUCUUCAAGUCAAUUUUAAUGAUACAAGGGGAACUUUUCUAUAUAUACGAAGUAAUUUUAA
This is a long non-coding RNA of Chenopodium quinoa (quinoa), 3387 nucleotides long. RefSeq lists it as uncharacterized. The transcript has 5 exons. The record is from RefSeq and is a predicted model, not a curated record. NCBI's taxonomy places the organism in Eukaryota, Viridiplantae, Streptophyta, Magnoliopsida, Caryophyllales, Amaranthaceae.